CUAACAACGAUGGCUUUUCAGGCCAUAAACCCCGGGUAAAUCCCGGGCGAGAACU
RNAcentral lists this transfer RNA (55 nucleotides) under Strigops habroptila (Kakapo). RNAcentral's name for it is "partial tRNA-Glu". Lineage: Eukaryota; Metazoa; Chordata; Aves; Psittaciformes; Psittacidae. The record is from RNAcentral.